UAUUUAUUUAUUUAUAGUCCCAGCAAGGAAUGAACCCAGAGAUUGCCUCUGUACCAGCCAGCACCCCUGUUAGGCUCCUCAGGGUUAGAUUCCUGGCUCUGAGGCAGUCUACUCAAGCUUGAACAGCAGACCGCAGAUCCUGGAGAAGGCCCAGGAGGUGGCUGUGACCCCCAGGCAUUCCCAGGACCCUUUCCGAGGACCUCCUGCAUCAAACUAGCAUGGUGAGAACUCUUGUUAGCUCUCACCUCCGCCAGGAGGAAGGAGAGGCGGGGCUUGCCUCUGAGAUGGGAGGGGCUUUGGCCUUUUCUGGCUGGAAGGAUCCUUUCAUGCUUCAAGGACCAGGGAGGAAGCAGCCAUUCCUAAACCAAGGGAUGGUGCCAACCAGGGGCUGAUGUCUCCCUGUGGAGAAGGGGAGGAGACAGCAGACACCCACUUGGUACACGUGAGCAAGGUGCAUGGGAAAGGUCGCGACGCUCAGGGACAUCACAGGUCACGCGGGGAAAGGCCACGCCUCUUCCUUAGCCCACCCGGCUCCUGGGCCUGUGGCCUGUGACUAGCUAGGGGUCAGCACCCGAGGGUGGGCUGCCUUGGGGAGGGGAGAUCCACUCAGCUUUCCCUACGGUUUCUUGAGCAUGCAGGCAAGACUGGACCUCUUGAUGUGUUCCCAAAAGAGAGGAGAAAAAAGUGAUCCCUGGUUUGCACUGUGUUUGAGGUGGGGCAUGCCCCAAAUUCAAGGCUGCUCUGUGUGAGCUGGGAGGAAGGCUCCUUAGAGCAAAGCUUUGCUGGGAACCGGCACAGCUCACAGGCUCUGACUGCUUCUCUGGAACUCAUGGCUGCUGGAAACUUGUCCUCCCCCCACCUUGGAGCUCUCCCCAGGUAAGUACACUGUGGCUGUCUUCAGACACUCCAGAAGAGGGCACGAGGUCUCACUGCAGAUGGUUGUGAGCCACCAUGUGGUUGCUGGGAUUUGAACUCGGGAUCUUCAGAAGAGCAGUCAGUGCUCUUACCCACUGAGCCAUCUCUCCAGCCCCCGGGGUGAGGCCUCUUGAGCUCCCAAACAUUACAGAAAACCACAGCCAAUCAAACUGCAGAAUUAUGGAACCAAGGCCAACUGACAAAUCUACGACACAACUCCUGUACCCAAGGCUCAGGAAUCACUGGGAAAGAUGGGUAGGUUCAGGGAGUUUGCUGUGAGAUUGUGUCCCCUAGAAAUGCCGGAAGCUGCACUCACAGAGUCUCACCAACAUGGCUGCCUAACAGGGACCCUUCCCUCUCCUUUCAUGGUAGAUGAUGAGAAACAAGAAGACACAGGUCCAUGAUGGUAAAGUUUCCAGAAGACCCUCUGGAGAAGGAGACAAUAUGUUCCUUUUGCGUACAAGUGGAUGGUUGGUAGCAAAGGCGCCCACAGACCAGGUCUUUCUCCAGUGGGAUAGCUGACCCACUAGCUUUAGAAGGGAACAAUUGAUAUUUUUUUGCACAUGGGCUUCACAUAAAUAUAAACUGAAGGAUAGAAGAAGUGCCCUCUACUGGUGGCGGUGGCCAACGCCUUUAAUCCCAGCACUCUGAGCCAGCCUGAUUUACAGUGAGUUCCAGGACAGCCAGGGCAGAGAAACCCUGUUUUGAAAAACAAAAAAGCAAAAAAAAAAAAAAAAACCAAAAAAACCCAAAAAAAAAACCCCAACCAACCAACCAAACAAAAACCCACAACCAAAACAACAAAAUAAAACAACAAAAAAACCCCAAAACAACCCAAAUGUGGGCUGUAAUGGGAAAUGCAGAGUGUGUAAAGCCAUCGGGUUGGAAUCCCACUGCUGCCCCCAUUGCCGACCAUGGGCUGAGCACUCAAUGAACUGGCUCUUGCCGGAUGAAGCUCUAGAGGCUGUUGGCUGUCCUAUCAAUCUUGACUUCUGCCCAGUGUCAAUAAAGGAAGGACCUUCAGGAAAGACCCCAGAGGCAGCAGAGGCCGCAGCAGGUGUAGCCGAGACCACUCACUGCUGCAGGGGGUUCUGAGCUCCUGGGCUGACACCCGGGUUCUGGCUCCCCAAGGUGAAGUGUGUGUAGCAUCUAGUUUCCCUGUUCCUGGUGCUGCUGAUCUACCUCAGCACCUUGACCUGCGCCUGGCCCAGUCACUGUGGCCAGCGGUCGGUCACUGGAGGCUACUGUUAUCCUGAUGUCCAGCAUCCUCCUCAAAGGUGCGCACUGGCUGCGCCGUGACCUUCUGUUUUGAUGAUCCUUGGCAGUAUGGCCACUUCUUAGUCUCAAUUAGACACCCCUGCCGCACUGGGGGUGGCGUUGAAGAGUCACCCUCUUUGACUACUCUGUAUGGGUGCUACUUGUUGCAGGCUCAAACUGUGGUUUCGAGGUUGUGUGUGAGGUAUGACAGGAAAGUGGAUAGGAACAGCCCGGUUCUGGUGAAAACUCUCAAGAGUAGCAACAGCCCAAAUUCAGGUCCUGCAUAUGUCUAAGGGACCCAUGGGCACUGCAUGCAACCUGUUUUUGGUGGGUGACACUAGGCUCAGGACCAAGCCACAGGUAUAUAGCCUGCACAGCCAGGAGCUGUCUCCCCCUAAGCCUUCAUACGGCUAAUUCAGGACCAGACAGGAAUGUGAUGGGCACAGGAGGGAAGCUAUGUUCGAAAGCUAAUAGAGCUGGCAGCUGUGGCUGGCGAUGGGCUGGUGCUCCAGUUCCUAUGGGAUUUCUGUAAACCAUUAACACUUGAACAUUUCUUACUUGUUGGGUGGGUGGCUGGAUUCCAGAAUAAGGCAGACCCCAAAAUCUGGACUCAUAAGAUUCUGGCCCCUGCCUCUGCCUUGGCAUUUGUCUGGCAGCUGCUGUCCUGAAGCUGUUGGCAUCCUGUGUCUAGCUCCUGCUCUGUGAAUUCUCAUCACUGGAAAUGUCUUAGCCUUGCAUUCUGAGAUCAUUGUGUGGAGGGAGCAGAGCAGGCCUUGUUGUGUGCUGAGGGAACUCGGUGAAUGGGGCACUGGUCCCUCUGGGCUCAUGUGGCUUUACUGUUUUAAGGAGUGAUGGUGAGAUCAAAUGUCUUGGUAGCCAUGAAGACCCGGACUGUAGCCCUUGCAGGGAAGGACAAGAGCGGGAUGCAGGCCCAAGAGAGGCUCAAGGAGGGGACCAUGGACCAGCAGGGACUGAGCCAUGGGCAAGCACACACUCCACUGUUCUCCCUGGGACAGACUAGACUGACCCGCAGCUUCUGUUGUUAUCAGGCUGCAGCUGUCCAGGGUAGACCAGGGUCUGUGGGUAGGAGGAGCAGCCCUGACCCCGUCCUCCUGGCUUUCUGACUCUACCUCACUGCAUAUGGUCCCAAGAUCAACGCUGAGCGGACUUCCCAAACUCAGGACAGAGUUUCUCUCCCCCUCUCUCUCCCCACUACACCUAACUAGAUACACAUGCACACACACACACACACACACACACACACCUACAUCUUGGCUUUCUUCUGUGGGGAGGCAUGCUUCCAAGCCCCCUGGGACAUUUCCCUUGCAGAUGGAGGACUCUGACCCACCUGCGUUCAGAGCCUUCUCUUUAUCAGAGAAGCCCGAGGACUGAGAUUUCCAGGCUGUCUGCCUCCAUUUGCAGAUACACAGAUUGACUGUGGGUAGAGUCUGCUUCUGAGGGUGGCCAGGGAGUCUCGGGUUAGACACUGGCAAAGGCAGGUGCUUCUGUCAGUUUGUGGGUGUUCCCUGCCACUUGCCUGUGAAUAGUGCAUUUAAAGACUCUCAAAGAAAACUCUUCUGUCUCUUGUCAAUCCCUAUUGUCAUUGUGGGCCAUCCCUGGGCUGGUGGUCCUGGGUUCUAUAGGAAAGCUAGCUGAGGAAGCCAACCAGUAAGCAGCCCCCCUCCGCGGCCUUUGCAUCAGCUUCUGUCUCCGGGUUUCUGCCCUAUUUGAGUCCCUGACUUCCUUCAAUAAUGAACAGUGCUCUGGAAGGGUAAGCCAGAGAAACCCUUUCUUCCCCUGGGAACUUGCUUUUGGUCACAGUGUUUAUCGCAACAGUAACCUUAACUAAGACAAGGGAGAAGAUGAGUACAGGGUACAGGGUCUGUGCAGUUACACACGGCUUGUAAAGGAUCUAGAAAGUCCAACGCACUGACGGCAAACCUCUUUAAUUAAUGCAGUUAUUGGUCUACUUUUCAUAACAAGUAUAAGGCCUGGCUUAAAAAUAAACUGUAGUUUAAUCCAAGUCUAUUGAGGUCUUAGAUUUUUGGCUAAGCUUUAUCUAACUACUGCUCAGCGGUUAAAAGCACUGGUGUAAGUGCCCAUCUGGGUGCCCAGUGGCCACACCUGGAGGCCCUGCCACUGUGGUCAGAGGAGUUAAAAGGGAGAAUUGCCCUUUCCCUUGGAGGUCAGGGUCCUCCAGGGGACUUUGGGGUGUGACUGGGGGAUCACCUGUUCUCUUGUUCAUGGAGGUUUUGGAGACACCACCUGGUGAGUGCUUCCUCGUGUCCUGUUCUCUUGUUCAUGGAGGUUUUGGAGACACCACCUGGUGAGUGCUUCCUCGUGUCCGAUUUACAAACACGAGAGUCAGCAGAGAAUUUCCUCCAUGCUUCCAAGAGAAGCCACUGCCAAGCAAGGUCUUUGACUUAUUUAUCCUCAUGGAGAUGGAACAAGUGUCAAAGCCAAGCCAGAAGUGCCAGAGGUUCCUCUCAAAACUCCUGUGAGCCCUAAGGACCAGAGCCCCCGGAGGCGUGGACAGUAAGGAGUAGGCAAUGAUCUGGUGACCCGCAAGGUCCUGAAGCCUCAACAGGAAAGCAGGACUGGAGACGGACAUGGUGGUCCUUGCGUCUCCUUUCUGUCCUACUCUUCCUAGACAGGGUCACACCCUGGCUGGUCUGGAACUUGCUAAGUAGACCAGGCUGGCCUCAAACUCACAGAGCUCCUCGUCUCUCUGCUUCCUGGGUGCUGACUGGUGUGUUUCUUUAGUCAAAGAUCACACUCCUGAGUACGGACAGUAUUCCCUAGACAUUAGGCUUAAAUCCGCAUCAGACAGCUUUUAGGCAACUAUUUCCUACUCAUUAUCUCAAUGAGAAAAAUGCUGCCCAGAUGUGGGACAUCAUGAGUUUGGCUUGAUUCCACACGGCAGUGCCUAACUGUAGCCUAGACAGGCCCACGGUUUAAACCUAAAGGGGGAAAAAAACCAAAUGAUGGUCAGAUUUUUUUCUAAAAGCCACCUGGAAGGGACCUCACACUGAUUCUAGCCACUGCACCAGCGGGCCAAGUUCCUGAAAGUGGAUUCUGGGUUCAUCAUUCUCAAGUGCAGCCUUGGGGACCAAACGUUGCUUUCUCAGAGUCUGAAAGAGAAGGUCUAUAACUGGUCAGUUGGACUAACCUACCCACUAGGACUUACAGAGCCCACUUGUGAUUUGAGUAGGUAUGGCCCCCAUAGACUCGUGUGUGUGUGUGUGUGUGUGUGUGUGUGUGUGUGUGUAAGAGAGAGUGUGUGACUGGCCAGUAGGGAGUGAUACUAGUAGGAGUGGCCUCGUUGGAGGACGUGGAGGCUCUGAGGUCAAGGGAGGCCUGGUACAGCAGUCUCCUGCAGAUCAAGGUGUAGAACUCUCAGCUCCUUCUCAAACACACCAUGCCUGCCUGCACUCUGCCAUGCUCCCUGCCAUGACCGUAAUGGACUGAACUCUAAAACUGGAAGCCAGCCCCAAUUAAAUGUCGUCCUUUAAAAGCGUUGCCAUGGUCAUGGUAUCUCUUCACAGCAAGAAACCCUAAGAUGCCACUUUUAUCUGGACUGUCCUUGGCUCGGGAUCUAACAGAAGAAAAUGGACACCUAGGCCAGUUAGUCUUAUACACUUAGGGAUGAUGUUGGAGGGCAAGGCUUAACAUGAGCUCUGAAUGGACCCAAUCCAUCAUCUCAGGAUGCACUUCAGGAUGUGUGACUACAGCCCACAGAAGUGGCCCCAGGAGCUUGCUUCAUAAGAGUCCCCUCUUGCUUGGACUAAUAUUCCCUAGCACAAAGCAGCCGCAGUGGCCAUGUCUCCUCCUCUGACAGCAGCAGCCACAGUGGCCAUGCCUCCUCCUCUGACAGCAGCUGGUGUUGAAGGAGAGUUAGGAGGACACAGACAGUUAGGAAGUGCCACGGGCUCCCUGGGAUGACCUGGAACAGUGGAAGCCACGGGGUUAAGUACUAAACAGGACCAGCAGGGGAACCUUAGAGAACACCCAAGCCAGAGACUUCUCAGCUCCUAGGGCCAGUCCUAGAAGGGUUAUCACGGCUGUGAUCAAACACUAUGACCAAAUAACGGUCAUAAUGUCCUCAGCCCGGCCUGAGGGUGGGGCACAGGGCAGACUCGAGUGCCAGCAGCGUCGCACAAGGUAGGGAGUAAACGGUGUAUCUGGCCUAUGCUCCCACAGCCCUGUUCAUCAUUGAAGGAAGUCAGCCCAGACAGGAACUCAAGCUGGCCAGGAACCUGGAGGCAGAGGCUGAUGCAGAGGCCACGGAGGAGUGAGUGCCCCUUGCUGACUUGUUCCCCAGGACCACGAGCCCAGGGCUGGCCCCGCCCAUUCUAAAGCGGCUAUCUUUGAUUUUCUCUGUGGCUUGGUCACCUGUUCUCCCAAAUGUUUUUGUUUUCCGAAUUUUUGGAGACAGGGUUUCUUCUCUGGGUAGGCCCAGCUGUCCUGGAACUCUGUGGACCAGGUUGGUCUGAAACUCAGAGACCCACCUGCCUCUGCCGAGAUUAAAGGUGUGCACUGCCAUCCAGCUCCAUGUUUUAACUCUUGGUCUGACAUUUUGUCUGUGGCAGAGAAUAAGCUCACUGAACCCCGACUGACGGCCCCAGCGCCCCUCCGGACCGUCCUCACUGACCUGCCACACUGGAGCCCUCAGUGAGUACCAGGAACAGCUCACCUCAGCCAGUCGCUGUCCUCAGGAAAGCUGACUCCUGGAGUAUGGGGGGCAGGUCCUGCUGGCCAGGCCUUGGUGUGCAUGUGGCCCGGUGGCCCCGUGGCUAGCCUGACUUACUGGCUUGUGCACGCUCUGCUGGGCUCUCAGGCAUACCGUCCUCCCCAUACCUGGCCCCACCUUUCCUUUAGUGCUGCUUCUGUUCAGACGGAGACACCGGCUCCUCUUUCUGCAGCAGCUUCUUAGUGGGAUCUGCAAGCCUGGCAAAGCACCUGGGCAGACUCGCCUGUCAGGGCAGAGGUGCCAUGGCUAUGUCCCCUUAGCAUCUUAGAGGAAGGCAUAAUGGGUGACAUCACUAUCAGACAAACCCCUGAGAACUUUAAAACUGCUGCCUUCUGCUUUAUUGACAGGUAAAUUGUUCAAAAUUGUUCUCACAAUUCAAUAAUUACAAAGACUCAGACUUACAUUAAAAAAG
Long non-coding RNA from Mus musculus (house mouse), 7334 nucleotides. RefSeq annotates it as RIKEN cDNA A230087F16 gene. Lineage: Eukaryota; Metazoa; Chordata; Mammalia; Rodentia; Muridae. The record is from RefSeq and is a predicted model, not a curated record. The transcript has 2 exons.